RNAcentral lists this ribosomal RNA (465 nucleotides) under Vreelandella stevensii. RNAcentral's name for it is "partial 16S ribosomal RNA". It matches the Rfam family "Bacterial small subunit ribosomal RNA", at positions 338 to 795 of the family's 1533-position model. Lineage: Bacteria; Pseudomonadati; Pseudomonadota; Gammaproteobacteria; Oceanospirillales; Halomonadaceae. The record is from RNAcentral.
CCUACGGGGGGCUGCAGUGGGGAAUAUUGGACAAUGGGCGCAAGCCUGAUGCAGCCAUGCCGCGUGUGUGAAGAAGGCCUUCGGGUUGUAAAGCACUUUCAGUGGGGAAGAAAGCCUUGGGGCUAAUACCCUCGAGGAAGGACAUCACCCACAGAAGAAGCACCGGCUAACUCCGUGCCAGCAGCCGCGGUAAUACGGAGGGUGCGAGCGUUAAUCGGAAUUACUGGGCGUAAAGCGCGCGUAGGCGGUCUGAUAAGCCGGUUGUGAAAGCCCCGGGCUCAACCUGGGAACGGCAUCCGGAACUGUCAGGCUAGAGUGCAGGAGAGGAAGGUAGAAUUCCCGGUGUAGCGGUGAAAUGCGUAGAGAUCGGGAGGAAUACCAGUGGCGAAGGCGGCCUUCUGGACUGAAACUGACGCUGAGGUGCGAAAGCGUGGGUAGCAAACAGGAUUAGAUACCCCGGUAGUC